RNAcentral lists this transfer RNA (77 nucleotides) under Escherichia coli. RNAcentral describes it as "tRNA-Met". It matches the Rfam family "tRNA". From Rfam's summary of the family: Transfer RNA (tRNA) molecules are approximately 80 nucleotides in length. Lineage: Bacteria; Pseudomonadati; Pseudomonadota; Gammaproteobacteria; Enterobacterales; Enterobacteriaceae. RNAcentral also lists the same sequence under 6 other names. The record is from RNAcentral.
CGCGGGGUGGAGCAGCCUGGUAGCUCGUCGGGCUCAUAACCCGAAGGUCGUCGUUUCAAAUCCGGCCCCCGCAACCA